AGAGUAAAAGCCGGAGCGUGAAGUGUUGACGGAACGGGGAGUUGUCUGUCAAACGAAAAGGAAAAAGCCUUGCGGUUCCGGUUUUGCAUCCCGCU
Molecule: non-coding RNA, 95 nt
Filed under: chicken gut metagenome
Description: THF riboswitch
Rfam family: THF (Tetrahydrofolate) riboswitch aptamer
About the family: THF riboswitch presents a pseudoknot that joins P1-P2 and the loop of P3 and two THF binding.
Source: RNAcentral